This 69-nucleotide transfer RNA is filed under the name Tetrancistrum nebulosi. RNAcentral's name for it is "tRNA-Arg". The record is from RNAcentral. Lineage: Eukaryota; Metazoa; Platyhelminthes; Monogenea; Dactylogyridea; Ancyrocephalidae.
GCUAGUAACUUAAAGUUAAGCUUUAUAUUUCGGCUAUAAAUGAGGGUACUUUGUUAUAUCCUACUAGUU